UCCCCCGAGGAGCGUUGCAGCGGACAAGCCUGGCACCCAGAUUGCCAGGCAACCAUCCGUCAGGCUCGGGGCCGACCACCCCGCAACGACGCUCACCUGUU
This 101-nucleotide non-coding RNA is filed under the name Acidovorax sp. CF316. RNAcentral describes it as "SAH (S-adenosyl-L-homocysteine) riboswitch aptamer". It matches the Rfam family "SAH (S-adenosyl-L-homocysteine) riboswitch aptamer". RNAcentral also lists the same sequence under 1 other name. Lineage: Bacteria; Pseudomonadati; Pseudomonadota; Betaproteobacteria; Burkholderiales; Comamonadaceae. The record is from Rfam by way of RNAcentral.